GUGAAUAACUAUAAAAAAUAAGUCAAUAUAUUAAUAUUAAUAAAUUAUUUAAUUAAUUAUAAUUUUAGUUAAUAUAUUAAUUUGAUAAAUUAAAAUAUUAAUUAUGCAAAUAAUAAAAUAUUAGUUAAUGAUUGAAUAAGCGUAUCAAUCGUUAAUUAUUUAAUUAGCUAAUUAAUUAUAAAUAAUAAAUUACUUACUAAUUAAAUACUUAUUAAUUUUAUUAAGUCAAAUAAUUCAUUAGUUAAUUAUUAAAAAGUUUAUUGCAUUAAUUAAUAAUAUUUUAUAUUAUUUAUAACUUAAUCAGUAGAGGGAUAAGAUAGAGAAUGGGUUAUUCCACCUAAAGGUGGAACUACUAUUCUCCCCUCUUAACGGGUUAUUCCAGAAUAACCCUUUAAGAGAAGAAUAGUAAAUCUUAGUGGCGUUUGGAAGAAUAAUAGGAAUAGAUCUCUUAUUCCCUCCUUAUCCCUUCAACCAAACAUAGCCUUAGUGUAUCUGUCAUGUAUCUAUCGAGUAUCCAAUAAUUUUCUGAAUUUUCAGAAAUGUCGGAUACUUAAAGUAUCUGACACGUAUCGGAUGUGUAUUGCGCAAGUCUCGAUAUACGAUACAUAUUUGAUACGAUACAACAAGCGAAAUGAAUUAUAACAGGAUGCUUUUCAUUGAUUCCGAUCAUAUUGCCUUUCCUAAUUGACUUACAAAUCAAAUUGCCCAUAUUUUGUUUUCCAAAUUUUCUACUCUCCUCUACGUUGAAUUUUGAGUAGGAAAGUUUUGCUAGGAUGGUAAUUUUAUCCAAGUUUCCUUUUGCUAUUUUUGGUAAACUUGGUAUUUCUAAAGCUCGAAUUUUCUUAACGUUGCCGAUAGUUAGAUAUGCUCAAUUAUCAUGCCAAAUACUGUUGGUUUAGAAGUUCAAGAUUUAGCCUUAGAAUUUAGUACGUGAUUGUCCUAACUAUUGGAAAAUCUUCUCUAUUAGAGAAGCAAAACUGUGUCUUUGGCAGCCAAAAAUUCUGGAACUUCGCGAAUGUUUGGAAAGCUGAAACAAUUCUCUGGAUGUCAGAAGUGUAAGCUUCAAUUUUCAAGCUUGUGCUUUUAAACUUCAGCCAUAAAUGAUGGAGAAUUUUAAGGAAUAAAUUGUUAGGUUUUUUUCCCAACAUAAACAAACCACAUAACCUUUAACCUUUGUGAGAGUGAAAACUGGUUUUUUUUUUUUUUUUUCUNNNNNNNNNNNNNNNNNNNNNNNNNAAAAAAUAUAAUACUAUUCUCUAAUAAGUUUUUCAAAAAAAAUAUCAAAUUUAUUUUUAAAAACUUUUAUUGAUGUGGGUUAGGGAUAGGGUUUUGAGAGAGGAUAGAUUAUUUUUUUUUUAUUUUUUUUUUUUAUGAGAAAGGGAUGAAGAGAAGGAGGGUGAGAUGGUCACAUGGGCUUCGAAAACUUAGUGAGCUUCCGGAAUGAAAUCUCAAUCCGGGCUAGAAGACCGGAAUCAAGUUGAAAGCUAAUGGGCCAUUUCCAUUCCGGUCCGGAAUAGGAAUUUCAAACCGAUUCAUAUGAACCAAACAAAAUUAACCGGAUUUGAUCAAACCGAUUCUCAUUCCAUACCCAAAAUGGAUGAACCAAACAAGCCCUAAAGGUGAUGAGAUCGAUUGCGAUUGAUGGG
RNAcentral lists this long non-coding RNA (1646 nucleotides) under Ananas comosus (pineapple). RNAcentral describes it as "long non-coding RNA (ACOM_LNC038034)". Lineage: Eukaryota; Viridiplantae; Streptophyta; Magnoliopsida; Poales; Bromeliaceae. The record is from RNAcentral.